Molecule: ribosomal RNA, 118 nt
Filed under: uncultured bacterium
Lineage: Bacteria
Description: partial 16S ribosomal RNA
Rfam family: Bacterial small subunit ribosomal RNA
Source: RNAcentral
AAUCUGUUCCCGAGCCUUGUACACACCGCCCGUCAAGCCACGGGAGCUGGGGGUACCCGAAGUCGCUAACCGAACCGCAAGGACGGGGGCGCCGACGGUAAAACCGGUGACUGGGACU